This 892-nucleotide ribosomal RNA is filed under the name uncultured archaeon. RNAcentral describes it as "bacterial SSU rRNA". It matches the Rfam family "Archaeal small subunit ribosomal RNA", at positions 459 to 1353 of the family's 1478-position model. The record is from RNAcentral.
CAGCCGCCGCGGUAAUACCAGCUCUCCGAGUGGUAGGGAUGAUUAUUGGGCUUAAAGCGUCCGUAGCCGGCUCAGCAAGUCCUCCGUUAAAUCCAGCGAUUCAAUCGUUGGACUGCGGGGGAUACUGUUGGGCUAGGGGACGGGAGAGGCUGACGGUAUUCUCGGAGUAGGGGUGAAAUCCUAUAAUUCCGGGAGGACCACCAGUGGCGAAGGCUGUCGGCUAGAACGAGCUCGACGGUGAGGGACGAAAGCUGGGGGAGCGAACCGGAUUAGAUACCCGGGUAGUCCCAGCUGUAAACGAUGCAGGCUAGGUGUUAGGGUGGCUACGAGCCACUCUAGUGCCGCAGGGAAGCUGUUAAACCUGCCGCCUGGGGAGUACGAUCGCAAGGUUGAAACUUAAAGGAAUUGGCGGGGGAGCACCACAAGGGGUGAAGCUUGCGGUUUAAUUGGAGUCAACACCGGAAACCUUACCGGGGGCGACAGCAGAUUGAAGGCCAGAUUGAAGAUCUUGCCAGACAAGCUGAGAGAAGGUGCAUGGCCGUCGCCAGUUCGUGCCGUGAGGUGUCCUGUUAAGUCAGGCAACGAUCGAGACCCACACUCCCUGUUGCUACCAAGGAAAGUUUCCAAGGGGCACUCUGGGAGGACCGCCGCCGACAAGGCGGAGGAAGGAGUGGGCCACGGCAGGUCAGUAUGCCCCGAAUCCCCCGGGCCACACGCGUGCUGCAAUGGCCGGUACAAUGAGUUCCUACCUCGAAAGAGGAUGGUAAUCCCUAAAGCCGGUCGUAGUUUGGAUCGAGGGCUGCAACCCGCCCUCGUGAAACUGGAAUGCCUAGUAACCGCGUGUCAUUAACGCGCGGUGAAUACGUCCCUGCUCCUUGCACACACCGCCCGU